AUGUCUUUCAACGCCUUGGAGUUGGCGUGUUGGAAUGUCAGAGGCCUUAACAACUCGGCCAAGAGGAAGGCACUAAGAGGCUUUGUGGACUCUGUUCGUGCGGCGAUUGUAUGUAUAUUAGAAACUAAUUUAGAGGAAGUGAACAUUUAUGUAAUCUUGCAAUGCAUGGGACCGAACUAUGAUGGUUUUACCUACUUACCGGCCUCGGAGACGAGAGGUGGUAUUUUUGUGGUUUGGGACACUACUAGGGUGAUGGUGACGAACUUUGUCAAUGAUUCUCAUUGCAUUACGGGUUUUGUCUCGCCUAAAGAGGGGACACCUUGGUGGUUAACCUAG
RNAcentral lists this ribosomal RNA (336 nucleotides) under Triticum aestivum (bread wheat). RNAcentral describes it as "partial small subunit ribosomal RNA". Lineage: Eukaryota; Viridiplantae; Streptophyta; Magnoliopsida; Poales; Poaceae. The record is from RNAcentral.